UGACGAAGAGUUUGAUCCUGGCUCAGGAUGAACGCUGGCGGCGUGCUUAAUACAUGCAAGUCGAACGGAGAAUGUAGCAAUACGUUCUUAGUGGCGAAUGGGUGCGUAACACGUGGGUGACCUGCCCCGAAGUGUGGAAUAACAGUUCGAAAGAACUGCUAAUACCACAUGUGGUCUUGGAGGUUAGAGGCUUCAAGUCUAAAGCAGAAAUGCGCUUCGGGAGGGGCCUGCGGUCCAUCAGCUAGUUGGUAGGGUAAUGGCCUACCAAGGCGACGACGGAUAGGGGACCUGAGAGGGUGGCCCCCCACACUGGCACUGACACACGGGCCAGACGCCUACGGGUGGCAGCAGUAAGGAAUAUUGCUCAAUGGGCGAAAGCCUGAAGCAGCAACGCCGCGUGCACGAUGAAGGCCUUCGGGUCGUAAAGUGCUUUUCGGGGAGAUGAGGAAGGACAGUAUCCCCGGAAUAAGGUACGGCUAACUACGUGCCAGCAGCCGCGGUAAAACGUAGGUACCGAGCGUUAUCCGGAUUCACUGGGCGUAAAGCGCGUGCAGGUGGUUAGGUAAGUCGGGCAUGAAAACUCUUGGCUCAACUAAGAGACGCUGUCCGAUACUGCCGGACUUGAGGGUGUAAGAGGGAGGUGGAAUUCCGCAUGUAGUGGUGAAAUGCGUAGAUAUGCGGAGGAACACCAGUGGCGAAGGCGGCCUCCUGGUACACUCCUGACACUCAGACGCGAAAGCUAGGGGAGCGAACGGGAUUAGAAACCCCGGUAGUCCUAGCCGUAAACGAUGAUUACUAGGUGUUAGUGGUAUCAAGCCCACUAGUGCCGAAGCUAACGCGAUAAGUAAUCCGCCUGGGGACUACGAUCGCAAGAUUAAAACUCAAAGGAAUUGACGGGGGCCCGCACAAGCAGCGGAGCGUGUGGUUUAAUUCGAGGCUACGCGAAGAACCUUACCCAGGUUUGACAUGCAGGUAGUAGUGAAGCGAAAGCGGAACGACCCGCAAGGGAGCCUGCACAGGUGAUGCAUGGCUGUCGUCAGCUCGUGCCGUGAGGUGUUUGGUUAAGUCCAGUAACGAGCGCAACCCUUAGGGCCAGUUACAAGUGUCUGGCCCGACUGCCGGUCUUAAGCCGGAGGAAGGUGGGGAUGACGUCAAGUCAGCAUGUCCUUUAUAUCUGGGGCUACACACACGCUACAAUGGGCAGUACAAUGGGUCGCCAACCCGCGAGGGGGAGCCAAUCCUCCAAAACUGCCCUCAGUUCAGAUCGCAGGCUGCAACUCGCCUGCGUGAAGUCGGAGUUGCUAGUAAACGCAGGACAGCUAUACUGCGUUGAAUACGUUCCCGGGCCUUGUACACACCGCCCGUCACGUCAUGGGAGCUGGCAACACCUGAAGCCGGUGGCCUAACUGCAAAGAGGGAGCCGUCGAAGGUGGGGCUGGUGACUGGGACGAAGUCGUAACAAGGUAGCAGUAGCGGAAGCUGCGGCUGGAUCACCUCCUUUCUAGGGAGUA
Molecule: ribosomal RNA, 1511 nt
Filed under: Chloroflexota bacterium
Lineage: Bacteria; Bacillati; Chloroflexota
Description: bacterial SSU rRNA
Rfam family: Bacterial small subunit ribosomal RNA
Source: RNAcentral